RNAcentral lists this ribosomal RNA (753 nucleotides) under uncultured Glomus. Its description in RNAcentral is "SSU rRNA". It matches the Rfam family "Eukaryotic small subunit ribosomal RNA", at positions 338 to 1092 of the family's 1831-position model. Lineage: Eukaryota; Fungi; Glomeromycota; Glomeromycetes; Glomerales; Glomeraceae. The record is from RNAcentral.
GGCCUACCAUGGUGGUAACGGGUAACGGGGUGUUAGGGCACGACACCGGAGAGGGAGCCUGAGAAACGGCUACCACAUCCAAGGAUGGCAGCAGGCGCGCAAAUUACCCAAUCCCGACACGGGGAGGUAGUGACAAUAAAUAGCAAUACGGGGUUCUUAUGGAUCUCGUAAUUGGAAUGAGUACAAUUUAAAUCUCUUAACGAGGAACAAUUGGAGGGCAAGUCUGGUGCCAGCAGCCGCGGUAAUUCCAGCUCCAAUAGCGUAUAUUAAAGUUGUUGCAGUUAAAAAGCUCGUAGUUGAAUUUCGGGGUCAGUAGGUUGGUCAUGCCACUGGUAUGUACUGGUCUCACUGAUUCCUCCUUCCUGAUGAACUGUAAUGCCAUUAAUUUGGUGUUGCAGGGAAUCUGGACUGUUACUUUGAAAAAAUUAGAGUGUUUAAAGCAGGCUAACGCCUGAAUACAUUAGCAUGGAAUAAUGAAAUAGGACGUUCGAUCCUAUUUUGUUGGUUUCUAGGAUUGACGUAAUGAUUAAUAGGGAUAGUUGGGGGCAUUAGUAUUCAAUUGUCAGAGGUGAAAUUCUUGGAUUUAUUGAAGACUAACUACUGCGAAAGCAUUUGCCAAGGAUGUUUUCAUUAAUCAAGAACGAAAGUUAGGGGAUCGAAGACGAUCAGAUACCGUCGUAGUCUUAACCAUAAACUAUGCCGACUAGGGAUCGGAUGAUGUUAAUUUUUUAAUGACUCAUUCGGCGCCUUACG